Carassius gibelio (silver crucian carp) is the source of this 721-nucleotide long non-coding RNA. RefSeq lists it as uncharacterized. The record is from RefSeq and is a predicted model, not a curated record. The transcript is spliced from 6 exons. Lineage: Eukaryota; Metazoa; Chordata; Actinopteri; Cypriniformes; Cyprinidae.
ACCUCGUCAGUUAUCGCGGGCGCCAUUAUGUGGUGGAGUCCAGUCCAUGGUGGAAUGCUGUAGAAUUGGUUUUUACAAGAGCUCAUUAAAUGAUAUCCUAUACUUGGGUUAUAGUCUACUUUUUCACAUGGUUUACAAGAGCAAUAAACAGCAUCCCAUGCUUGGGUUUUAGUAAACUUUUUCAUGUGAACAACAGCGUAGACAUGGAAAGAGAAUGCAUCCUCAAAAAGCACUGUGUGUAUACAUAAAGGAGGACCAUCUACAGCUGUUCAAGGAGUACAAUAAAACGUGCAAAUACUGAGUUCUCUUUCAAGUCUUGUGCUUCAGAGGCCAAAUUCGUACAAAAAUUAUAUCAACAUGACUGUCUUGGAUUGCGACUGGAUGAAUUCUAAAGAAGCCAUAGAGCAGAUGGUAAUGGGGAUCUACAUCGUCCAAUUCAUAGACACCAACCAGGGGAUAAACCUGUGGACGUUGGUAUCCUGAUUGAAGGGACCGAGGUUCUCUGCUCUUUGAAGAACGUGUAGCAGUGGCCAUGCUGUUUGGACUUACUUACGCCUUGAACCUCAGCUACCCACAAGAACUCAAGGCUACAUUUGAGGUCAUCCAGAAAGUGUUCUUUAUCUUGGAUGGACAAAAACUUUCACUAAAGGUACCAGCCCUUAAGAACAAGAUGUUGGAGUAAGUUACCUUAUGUGUGUAUUCUCAAAAGACUAAAUCUUGA